GAAAAUCUCGAUCGCUCUUAUUGUGGUGGGAACGCGCAUGGGCAGGAUGGUGUAACCAUCCGGCGACAGCCACCCAUGCGCGGUAGACAGGCUCCUCAAAAGGGGCCUUUUUUUAUGCCUUCAA
This 124-nucleotide small RNA is filed under the name Rhizobium sp. YS-1r. Its description in RNAcentral is "Rhizobiales sRNA Atu_C8". It matches the Rfam family "Rhizobiales sRNA Atu_C8". The record is from Rfam by way of RNAcentral. Lineage: Bacteria; Pseudomonadati; Pseudomonadota; Alphaproteobacteria; Hyphomicrobiales; Rhizobiaceae.